CCUACGGGGGGCAGCAGUGAGGAAUAUUGCGCAAUGGGCGAAAGCCUGACCGAGCGACGCCGCGUGCGGGAUGAAGGCCCUCGGGUUGUAAACCGCUGUCAGCGAGGAGGAAACUCCAGGGGGAUCACCCCCUGGUUUGACCUAUUCGCAGAGGAAGGACGGGCUAAGUUCGUGCCAGCAGCCGCGGUAAUACGAACCGUCCGAACGUUAUUCGGAAUCACUGGGCUUAAAGGGUGCGUAGGCGGCCCGGAAAGGUGGGUGUAAAAUCCCUCGGCUUAACCGAGGAAGGGCGCUCAAAACUCCCGGGCUAGAGGGAGACAGAGGUGAGCGAAACUUAGGGUGGAGCGGUAAAAUGCGUUGAUAUCCUAAGGAACACCGGUGGCGAAAGCGGCUCACUGGGUCUUUUCUGACGCUGAGGCACGAAAGCUAGGGGAGCGAACGGGAUUAGAUCCCCCGGUAGU
RNAcentral lists this ribosomal RNA (461 nucleotides) under uncultured bacterium. Its description in RNAcentral is "partial 16S ribosomal RNA". It matches the Rfam family "Bacterial small subunit ribosomal RNA", at positions 338 to 794 of the family's 1533-position model. The record is from RNAcentral.